RNAcentral lists this ribosomal RNA (252 nucleotides) under Turicibacter sanguinis. RNAcentral's name for it is "partial 16S ribosomal RNA". It matches the Rfam family "Bacterial small subunit ribosomal RNA", at positions 1291 to 1533 of the family's 1533-position model. Lineage: Bacteria; Bacillati; Bacillota; Erysipelotrichia; Erysipelotrichales; Turicibacteraceae. The record is from RNAcentral.
GUUCGGAUUGUAGGCUGAAACUCGCCUACAUGAAGCUGGAGUUGCUAGUAAUCGCGAAUCAGAAUGUCGCGGUGAAUACGUUCCCGGGUCUUGUACACACCGCCCGUCACACCAUGAGAGUUGGCAAUACCCAAAGUUCGUGAGCUAACCGCAAGGAGGCAGCGACCUAAGGUAGGGUCAGCGAUUGGGGUGAAGUCGUAACAAGGUAGCCGUAGGAGAACCUGCGGCUGGAUCACCUCCUUUCUAUGGAGA